RNAcentral lists this ribosomal RNA (253 nucleotides) under uncultured bacterium. Its description in RNAcentral is "partial 16S ribosomal RNA". It matches the Rfam family "Bacterial small subunit ribosomal RNA", at positions 524 to 776 of the family's 1533-position model. The record is from RNAcentral.
UACGUAGGGUGCGAGCGUUGUCCGGAAUUAUUGGGCGUAAAGAGCUCGUAGGCGGUUUGUCGCGUCGACUGUGAAAACCUACAGCUUAACUGUGGGCUUGCAGUCGAUACGGGCAGGCUAGAGUUCGGUAGGGGAGACUGGAAUUCCUGGUGUAGCGGUGAAAUGCGCAGAUAUCAGGAGGAACACCGGUGGCGAAGGCGGGUCUCUGGGCCGAUACUGACGCUGAGGAGCGAAAGCGUGGGGAGCGAACAGG